GACGAACGCUGGCGGCGUGCUUAACACAUGCAAGUCGAGCGGUAAGGCCCUUUCGGGGGUACACGAGCGGCGAACGGGUGAGUAACACGUGGGUGACCUGCCCUCAGCUCUGGGAUAAGCCUGGGAAACCGGGUCUAAUACUGGAUAUGACUCCAUGACGCAUGUUGGUGGGGUGGAAAGCCUUGUGCGGCUGAGGAUGGGCCCGCGGCCUAUCAGCUUGUUGGUGGGGUGANGGCCUACCAAGGCGACGACGGGUAGCCGGCCUGAGAGGGCGACCGGCCACACUGGGACUGAGACACGGCCCAGACUCCUACGGGAGGCAGCAGUGGGGUAAUCUUGCGCAAUGGGCGAAAGCCUGACGCAGCGACGCCGCGUGAGGGAUGACGGCCUCGGU
Molecule: ribosomal RNA, 394 nt
Filed under: uncultured bacterium
Lineage: Bacteria
Description: bacterial SSU rRNA
Rfam family: Bacterial small subunit ribosomal RNA
Source: RNAcentral